This 405-nucleotide ribosomal RNA is filed under the name uncultured Candidatus Sericytochromatia bacterium. Its description in RNAcentral is "bacterial SSU rRNA". It matches the Rfam family "Bacterial small subunit ribosomal RNA", at positions 355 to 774 of the family's 1533-position model. Lineage: Bacteria; Bacillati; Candidatus Sericytochromatia. The record is from RNAcentral.
UGGGGAAUUUUCCGCAAUGGGCGAAAGCCUGACGGAGCAACGCCGCGUGGAUGAUGAAGUCUUUCGGGACGUAAAAUCCUUUCAGCAGGGACGAAGCGAGUGACGGUACCUGCAGAAGAAGCAUCGGCUAACUACGUGCCAGCAGCCGCGGUAAUACGUAGGAUGCGAGCGUUGUCCGGAAUUAUUGGGCGUAAAGCGAACGUAGGCGGCCAUCUAAGUUUGGUCUUAAAGACCGGGGCUCAACCCCGGGAAUGGACUGAAUACUGGGUGGCUGGAGCGUGUUAGAGGAAAGUGGAAUUCCAGGUGUAGCGGUGAAAUGCGUAGAUAUCUGGAGGAACACCGGUGGCGAAAGCGACUUUCUGGGACAUUGCUGACGCUGAGGUUCGAAAGCUCGGGGAGCAAACA